GUUCCCUAUGAUGCCUGUUAAACCAUGCUAAUGCUGAUAUCAUGAUGCUGAUAUCAUGAUUUUGACUUGUAGUUUAUGCUGAGGGAACU
Prosopis cineraria is the source of this 89-nucleotide small nucleolar RNA. RefSeq annotates it as small nucleolar RNA snoR53Y. The record is from RefSeq and is a predicted model, not a curated record. The transcript has a single exon. Lineage: Eukaryota; Viridiplantae; Streptophyta; Magnoliopsida; Fabales; Fabaceae.